GUUCCUCCCCUGUGGCCCUUGCGGUUGCAGGGGGGACCUCGAAGCAAUCCUCGUGUCCCAGACAUACCUCGACGUUCCUACGUGCGGUUGUCUUGGUCCAUGAGUCAUUGCUCGUCCUCUCGGAUGCGGAAUGCUAAGCGAGCGUGGUGGUCUUUGGCCUCCGAUCGCUCGAGAACGUCCCUUUACACGGAUGACUGUUGCGACUGCAUGGUGCUCCAACCGAAAGGUUGGAAGCCUCGUGCAGCUCGCAACGUCCCGAAGGAAUGCUACCUGGUUGAUCCUGCCAGUAGUCAUAUG
This 297-nucleotide unclassified non-coding RNA is filed under the name Chaetachme aristata. Its description in RNAcentral is "partial 26S-18S external transcribed spacer". The record is from RNAcentral. Lineage: Eukaryota; Viridiplantae; Streptophyta; Magnoliopsida; Rosales; Ulmaceae.